UACGGAGGGGGCUAGCGUUGCUCGGAAUCACUGGGCGUAAAGGGUGCGUAGGCGGGUCUUUAAGUCAGGGGUGAAAUCCUGGAGCUCAACUCCAGAACUGCCUUUGAUACUGAGGAUCUUGAGUACGGGAGAGGUGAGUGGAACUGCGAGUGUAGAGGUGAAAUUCGUAGAUAUUCGCAAGAACACCAGUGGCGAAGGCGGCUCACUGGCCCGUUACUGACGCUGAGGCACGAAAGCGUGGGGAGCAAACAGG
Molecule: ribosomal RNA, 253 nt
Filed under: uncultured bacterium
Lineage: Bacteria
Description: partial 16S ribosomal RNA
Rfam family: Bacterial small subunit ribosomal RNA
Source: RNAcentral